This is a long non-coding RNA of Astatotilapia calliptera (eastern happy), 1212 nucleotides long. NCBI's taxonomy places the organism in Eukaryota, Metazoa, Chordata, Actinopteri, Cichliformes, Cichlidae. The record is from Ensembl.
CUGGUAGGAAAAAAUGUGCUUUUUUUUCUUUUCUUCACUUAAAUAAGCUCCUACAUCAACAGCGUUCUUGCUAGUGUUGCUGUAUUGAUUCCAUGUUUCCUUUUAGCAUUGUGCUGAGAAAUGUCAGUGCUGUUACCUCCACCAGAGAUAACUAUGGCCUGUGAAAGACAAUUAGCCAAAGGAGUGGAUCCAGCCACAAUGCCAGCGUGCAAGCUACUCUGUCUGCAGUCAGGCCAUAGCCGAGGACUUAUAUGCUCAGAUUACACAGGAGCAAACAAAUCAAGUAGCACCAUCAAGCCUUUAGUGGAGCAGCUGCAGGAGGGUGUGUGUAAAAAAACCAAAAAAGAAAACAAAGAAGAAAAGAAAACAUUAACCCUGUACAGCCGUUGAUCAGCCUUCAAUUUCGAAUUUACAUGGUAAUUGAUCCUUCAGAACUUCUCUACAUCUCUUUCUCGUCACCCCUCUCACUUCUCCUCCUUCUCUGCUUUAGUCUGUCCAAGCCUCCACUCCAUCACCAUGAAUCUUGCUUCCACUCCUACAUAAUGACACACUAACACAUACACCUGCAUUUGGUGCAGGAGGUACAACCCCCCCGAUUUUAACCAGAAUCCAGCAGCCGCGACAGUUAUUGCUCCCUUGAGCUGUGAGACGGAAGAGCCUCAAGCCUGACCAAGACAUCAAGGAGCAGAUGUUAUCUGAUAUAAAACUCCAGAUAAAGAAAAGAUUCCUGUAUGCAGUCUGUCUCCACCAAAGUCGAGAUUUCUGGUUUCACAUUAGUUAAUUCUAGAUUAAUUUAUUGUUUCAGUGCGAUUUUCCUUAAUCUGACCAACAGAUACUGUAUUUAUAAAUGCAGAGAAAAGAUAAUUAUUGCAUUAAUAGUAGCUAAUUUUAUGCAAUAUUCAUUUUAUCAAAACAGCCUCCUAGUUUUUUUUAAAUGUUAAAUUUUUAAGAAUGUCAAAUUACUUUGUGUUUGUUUUUUUAAGAGGACCUUUUAUAUCCUUAAGAGUAGAUUUGCAUGAAAAACAGCUUAAAAUAAUUAUUAUUUACCUCAUUCUGUGCUUUAGUGCAGCCCUUCAGCUUAUCUUCUGUCUGAAAUGAGCUAUUUCAGCUCCCCCACUCCAUCAGGUGAGUGGUGGUUAUGUGCGCACACAACCAGCACUGUGUGCCUAAACAUGACCAUAUUAGGGACAUCCGCUCUUACUGACAUCAUGC